Molecule: ribosomal RNA, 2063 nt
Filed under: human metagenome
Description: bacterial LSU rRNA
Rfam family: Bacterial large subunit ribosomal RNA
Source: RNAcentral
UUAAGUAGAAAAGAGCGCACGGAGGAUGCCUUGGCACUAGGAGCCGAAGAAGGACGUGACAAACGACGAAACGCUACGGGGAGCUGUAAGUAAGCAAAGAUCCGUAGAUAUCCGAAUGGGGGAACCCACCGCUUUUAAAAGGGCGGUACGCGAAAGCGAGGUAACGCAGGGAACUGAAACAUCUAAGUACCUGUAGGAAGAGAAAGAAAAAUCGAUUUCCUAAGUAGCGGCGAGCGAAAGGGAAAGAGCCCAAACCAAUAUGCUUGCAUAUUGGGGUUGUAGGACUCUCAGAAAAGCGUAUAACAAAGUAUAGUAGAACGAGCUGGAAAGUUAGACCGUAGAAGGUAAAAGUCCUGUAUACGAAAUGCUGAGUUGGCGUGAGAGAGCACCUGAGUACGGCGGAACACGAGGAAUUCCGUCGGAAUCUACCAGGACCAUCUGGUAAGGCUAAAUACUACCUAGUGACCGAUAGUGAACCAGUACCGUGAGGGAAAGGUGAAAAGAACCCCGGGAGGGGAGUGAAAGAGAACCUGAAACCGUGUGCUUACAAGUAGUCAGAGCCCUUUAGGGGGUGAUGGCGUGCCUUUUGUAGAAUGAACCGGCGAGUUACUUUAUCAUGCGAGGUUAAGUGGAAGACAUGGAGCCGAAGCGAAAGCGAGUCUUAAUAGGGCGAAAUAGUAUGAUGGAGUAGACCCGAAACCAAGUGAUCUACCCAUGGCCAGGUUGAAGUUUAGGUAACACUGAAUGGAGGACCGAACCAGGACACGUUGAAAAGUGUUUGGAUGAGCUGUGGGUAGCGGAGAAAUUCCAAUCGAACUUGGAAAUAGCUGGUUCUCUCCGAAAUAGCUUUAGGGCUAGCCUCGUUGUGAGUUUACUGGAGGUAGAGCACUGUUUGGACUAGGGGCCCAUCCCGGGUUACCGAAUUCAGACAAACUCCGAAUGCCAGAUAAAUAUCAACGGGAGUCAGACUGCGGGUGAUAAGGUUCGUAGUCGAAAGGGAAACAGCCCAGACCGCCAGCUAAGGUCCCAAAUUGUAUGUUAAGUGGAAAAGGAUGUGAUGAUGCACAGACAACCAGGAUGUUGGCUUAGAAGCAGCCACCAUUUAAAGAGUGCGUAAUAGCUCACUGGUCGAGUGACAUCGCGCCGAAAAUGUACCGGGGCUAAACAUACAACCGAAGCUGCGGAUAUAACUAAUGUUAUAUGGUAGGAGAGCGUUCUAACAUCAUAGAAGCCGAACUGGAAGGUGAGGUGGAGAGGUUAGAAGUGAGAAUGCCGGUGUGAGUAGCGAAAGAUAGGUGAGAAUCCUAUCCACCGAAAGACUAAGGUUUCCAGAGGAAGGCUCGUCCGCUCUGGGUAAGUCGGGACCUAAGGUGAAGCCGAUAGGUGAAGCCGAUGGACAACAGGUAGAAAUUCCUGUACCACCGAAUAUCGAUUGAGAGAAGUGGGGACAGAGGAGGCUAAUUGAUCGCCCUGAUGGAAUAGGGCGUCUAAGCACAAAGACUGACAAGUAGGCAAAUCCGCUUGUUGUAAAGGUUGAAGUGUUAAGGGGAGCGAAAUAUAGUAGCGAAGUCAAUGAAGCCAAACUCUCAAGAAAAGCCGCUAUCGAGAUAAGAGGUGCCCGUACCGCAAACCGACACAGGUAGUUGGGAAGAGAAUUCUAAGGUGAGCGAGAGAACCAUCGUUAAGGAACUCGGCAAAAUGACCCCGUAACUUCGGGAGAAGGGGUGCCUACGAGAGUAGGCCGCAGUGAAUAGGCCCAAGCGACUGUUUAUCAAAAACACAGGUCUCUGCAAAACCGAAAGGUGAAGUAUAGGGGCUGACGCCUGCCCGGUGCUGGAAGGUUAAGAGGAGUGCUUAGCGCAAGCGAAGGUAUGAAUUGAAGCCCCAGUAAACGGCGGCCGUAACUAUAACGGUCCUAAGGUAGCGAAAUUCCUUGUCGGGUAAGUUCCGACCCGCACGAAAGGCGUAACGAUUUGGGCACUGUCUCAACGAUGGACUCGGUGAAAUCAUAGUACCUGUGAAGAUGCAGGUUACCCGCGACAGGACGGAAAGACCCCAUGGAG